GCGUCUGUGGUGCAAUUGGCUAGCGCGUUCGGCUGUUAACCGGAAGGCUGGUGGUUCAAGCCCACCCAGGGGCG
This 74-nucleotide transfer RNA is filed under the name Daphnia galeata. It matches the Rfam family "tRNA". From Rfam's summary of the family: Transfer RNA (tRNA) molecules are approximately 80 nucleotides in length. Their secondary structure includes four short double-helical elements and three loops (D, anti-codon, and T loops). Lineage: Eukaryota; Metazoa; Arthropoda; Branchiopoda; Diplostraca; Daphniidae. The record is from Rfam by way of RNAcentral.